Anguilla anguilla (European eel) is the source of this 733-nucleotide long non-coding RNA. RefSeq lists it as uncharacterized. The transcript is spliced from 5 exons. The record is from RefSeq and is a predicted model, not a curated record. NCBI's taxonomy places the organism in Eukaryota, Metazoa, Chordata, Actinopteri, Anguilliformes, Anguillidae.
GGGGCUGAGCACCAAACGCGAAGGGGCCAGCUCCUUCCACGACUGUGAGGCCAAAGGUGAGCGACCCAACACACCAGACUGGAUCAGCCUCGCUGUGUGGCCUCCCAUCCAGUGCUCUCCUGGGCAUUACUACAACACCACGGUUCAUCGGUGCAUUCGCUGCCCUCUUGGCACAUACCAGACUGAGUUCCGGCAGAACUACUGCAUCUCCUGCCCUGGCAACACCACUACCGACUUCGAUGGAGCCACGUCUGUCUCCCAGUGCAAGAAUAGGGAAUGUGGGGGAGAGAUGGGCGAGUUUACUGGCUAUAUUGAGUCGCCCAACUAUCCAGGAAACUACCCCGCCAACGUGGAAUGCACCUGGAACAUCAACCCCCCGCCAAAACGCAAGAUUCUCAUCGUAGUGCCCGAGAUAUUCCUGCCCUCAGAGGAUGAGUGUGGAGACGUACUGGUCAUGAGGAAGAACUAGGACUAUGAACAGCUGGUGGAAAACAUUGUGAGGGAUGGAAGACUCUACGCCUCUGAAAAUCACCAAGAAAUCCUCAAGGACAAAAAGUUGAUAAAGACCCUGUUCGAUGUGCUGGCCCACCCACUCAACUACUUCAAAUACACGACCAGGGAGUCCAACGAGAUGCUGCCCCGCUCCUUCAUACGCCUCAUCAGCAGCAAAGUCUCAGAAUUCCUGCGGCCAUACAAGUAGUCCCCGGGCCCCACCCUCUCCCAACGCCACCAG